RNAcentral lists this long non-coding RNA (1269 nucleotides) under Microcebus murinus (gray mouse lemur). RNAcentral describes it as "lncRNA (ENSMICG00000048801.1)". The record is from RNAcentral. Lineage: Eukaryota; Metazoa; Chordata; Mammalia; Primates; Cheirogaleidae.
GCCGUGGGCGGCAGGAAGUGUGCAGAGACAGAGCACCAGCACCCGGGUGGGGUGGGGAGGGGGCCGAGAAGGACCCUUCCCCACGUCCGGGCCACUAUGGCUGCUGGGGUCUCACACGCAGGGGAGCUGGGCAGGUCCCAGCCCCUGGGGGGUAAGACCAGGCGGGAGAGAAGGGCCAGGGGACCGUGCCUGGGACCUGUCCUUCUGCCCCCAGGACAUCGUGGCUGGAGACAUGAGCAAGAAGAGCCUCUGGGAGCAAAAGGGAGGCUCCAAGACCUCGUCCACAGUGAAGGUAGCUAGCGUCCACGCCACUGGCGCGAGGCGGGCGGUGCCGCAGGGAAGGGUGGAGAGGGGCUGUCCACUGUGCAUCCCGGAGGGCUUCCUGGAGGCAGCCGUCGCUCUUCCGCCAGUCUCACCUUUAUUCUCCACGUCCUUCCCCAACAGAGCACCCCGUCCGGGAAGCGGUACAAGUUUGUGGCCACCGGACACGGGAAGUACGAGAAGGUGCUGGUGGACGGGGGCCCGGCUCCCUAGACCCCGCCGCACCCUCCGUGUUCCCAGGGAGAUCCCGGCCAGACACCCGCCCCAGCCCUGGCUAAGAAGUUGCUUCCUGUCACCAGCCUGGCCCACCCUGGUGCCUUUGACACCCCCCACCACCACCACCACCACCGCGAACUCCUUUUGCUCCUGGACCCUCCAGCCUCUCUCCUCUCCCACUCUGACCCCAGCUCUGCCUCUGACUGCUUGGGGAGGAAAGAGACUCCUGAUCACUGGCCAAAGGGGCUGCCCCCCAGAGAGGACCAGAGCUCUCGGGGAAGGCAGGAGAACAAGGUGCCGCCUGUGCAGAGGGGGGCCGGUCACCCCACCAGAUCUGAGGGGUACCCGCAGGGUGAUCUCCAGGCCAAGAGCCGCCAACCCCUGCGCUGGAUGCUCAGGACUCUGUGCCCCUCCCGUCCCCGCUUGCCUCACUGCCCUCCCCACGUCAUGCAAUAAAGCUCCUUGUGUCCCCAUGCACUGGCUCGCCGUGCUCACUGAGGGGGACGGGGGAGUGGGGCUGACCGGGACACACAGCCCCGCACCAUGCAAUGUCCCUCUGCCCUGUCCUGUGGCCCUCCACAGGGGUAGGCACCAGGAUAUGAAGUCUGUGGUGGUCUAAGUCAGUGCCCAUGCAACGGGUGGGGUCCAGCCUGCCUUUUCCAGAAUGUUGUGACAUCCCCCUCUUGACUGGCCCACUGUAAACCUGUGCUCUGACUGCGUGCCUGCUGAGGG